Molecule: ribosomal RNA, 253 nt
Filed under: uncultured bacterium
Lineage: Bacteria
Description: partial 16S ribosomal RNA
Rfam family: Bacterial small subunit ribosomal RNA
Source: RNAcentral
UACGUAGGAUCCAAGCGUUGUCCGGAUUUACUGGGUGUAAAGGGUGCGUAGGCGGACUUGUGCGUCAAGGGUUAAAUCCCACGGCUUAACCGUGGACCUGCCCUUGAUACGGCAAGCCUUGAAUACGGGAGAGGAAGGUAGAAUUCUUGGUGUAGCGGUGAAAUGCGUAGAUAUCAAGAGGAAUACCAGUGGCGAAGGCGGCCUUCUGGCCCGUUAUUGACGCUGAGGCACGAAAGCGUGGGGAGCGAACAGG